Molecule: ribosomal RNA, 691 nt
Filed under: Stenotrophomonas maltophilia
Lineage: Bacteria; Pseudomonadati; Pseudomonadota; Gammaproteobacteria; Lysobacterales; Lysobacteraceae
Description: bacterial SSU rRNA
Rfam family: Bacterial small subunit ribosomal RNA
Source: RNAcentral
CCAGCACAUGACCGCGUGAAGUAAAGAAGCUUCGGAUUGGAAAAGUCCUUUUGUUGGGAAGAAACCUACUGGUUGAAAACCGGGUGGGAUGAACGGUCCCUGAGAAGAAAGCCCGGGUAAAUUCCUGGCCACAGCCCCGGUUAUUCCAAAGGUGGAAGGGGUACUCGGAAUUACUGGGCGGAAAGGGGGGGGAAGGCGGCUAUUAAAUUCUGUGGGAAAGGCCUGGGCUUAACCCGCGAACUGCAUCGGAUACUGGGUAACUAGAGUGUGGAAGAGGAUAGCGGAAUUCCUGGUGUAGCGGUGAAAUGCGUAGAGAUGAGGAGGAACAUCAGUGGCGAAGGCGGCUUCCUGGACUGACACUGACGCUGAGGCGCGAAAGCGUGGGGAGCAAACAGGAUUAGAUACCCUGGUAGUCCACGCCCUAACGAUGAGUGCUGGAUGUUGGGUGCUUUAUGACACGCAGUACCGAAGCUAACGCGUUAAGUUCUCCGCCUGGGGAGUACGCUCGCAAGACUGAAACUCAGAGGAAUUGACGGGGGCCCGCACAAGCGGUGGAGUAUGUGGUUUAAUUCGAAUGCACGCGAGAACCUUACCAUGGUCUUGACAUCGCCGCAUGACUUCUCCUGAGAUCAGAUGUGUUGCCCUUCGGGGAACUCGAACACAGGUGCUGCAUGGUUCUUGGUCAAGCAAA